GACGAACGCUGGCGGCGUGCUUAACACAUGCAAGUCGAACGGAAAGGCCCCUUUGGGGGUCCUCGAGUGGCGCACGGGUGAGUAAGACGUGAGUAACCUGCCCUUGACUUCGGGCUAACUUCAGGAAACUGGGGCUAAUACCGGAUAGGAAUCCUUGCUGCAUGGUGGGGGUUGGAAAGCUUCGGCGGAUUUGGCUGGACUCGCGGAUUAUCAGCUUGUUGGUGGGGUAGUGGCUUACCAAGGCGUUGACGGGUAGCCGGCCUGAGAGGGGGACCGGGCACAAUGGGACUGAGAGACGGACCAGACGCGUACGGUAGGCAGCAGUGGGGAAUAUUGCACAAUGGGCGGAAGCGUGAGGCAACAACGCCGCGUGCGUGAUGACGGGUUUCGGGUGGUAAACCGCUUUCAGCAGGGGCGAAGCUUGUGGUGACGGUACCUGCAGAAGAAGCACCGGCUAACUACGUG
Molecule: ribosomal RNA, 465 nt
Filed under: uncultured bacterium
Lineage: Bacteria
Description: partial 16S ribosomal RNA
Rfam family: Bacterial small subunit ribosomal RNA
Source: RNAcentral